RNAcentral lists this ribosomal RNA (253 nucleotides) under uncultured bacterium. Its description in RNAcentral is "partial 16S ribosomal RNA". It matches the Rfam family "Bacterial small subunit ribosomal RNA", at positions 524 to 776 of the family's 1533-position model. The record is from RNAcentral.
UACGUAGGGUGCAAGCGUUAAUCGGAAUUACUGGGCGUAAAGCGUGCGCGGGCGGCUUUGCAAGACAGAUGUGAAAUCCCCGGGCUCAACCUGGGAACUGCAUUUGUGACUGCAUGGCUAGAGUGCGGCAGAGGGGGAUGGAAUUCCGCGUGUAGCAGUGAAAUGCGUAGAUAUUGGGAGGAACACCAGUGGCGAAGGCGGCUCACUGGACCGGAACUGACGCUGAGGCGCGAAAGCGUGGGGAGCAAACAGG